This 593-nucleotide long non-coding RNA is filed under the name Lathyrus oleraceus (garden pea). RNAcentral describes it as "Pisum sativum (pea) long non-coding RNA (PSAT_LNC040540)". Lineage: Eukaryota; Viridiplantae; Streptophyta; Magnoliopsida; Fabales; Fabaceae. The record is from RNAcentral.
UUUUUUCGAUGCCCCAGUUGGCUGUUCUGCUGAUUCUCGAGAUGCAGCUGAGUGAUCUUCUUUUCUUGCUCAAGAAGUCGGGAAAUACCGUCAGGAAUCCCUUCAACAUCAUCUUCUUCCGCUUCGAAUACAGGGAAUUCAAAAUUGGGAGAUGACGUCUGAUCACUAUGUUCAAUGGGUCUAAGAAACAACCUGCAUAAAGAUUUUGAGUAUAAAAGCUUUUUGGAAAUCAAACAAGACAAUCGUUAUGCAGAUGAAAAGAUUGCUUUUAUUCUUGUUUUUUAGGGUUUUUUGUGAUCACCAAUUUCAUGCAAAAAGCGAAAAGGGAAAACAAUUGGAAAACAAAUGUUUUAACAUGAAUUAUUUGAAUGAAAAUAUCAUUGCACAAAACGUUGCCAACAAUGUCAUCACAUCUCCUCAUGGGAGAAGGGUUUCUAAACAAAGUGAUUAUUACUCCGACUUAUGAACAACUGUAGGAACGCCCACUGUGACCCAAUUGUGAUAGAUCCCACCGGGGAUGACAACUGUCAGUAUCUCUUGCAUCAGCAACUUCUGCUUUCUGAACAACCCUUCUGAAGAAAAAGUCGGCGCCA